Molecule: non-coding RNA, 546 nt
Organism: Megalobrama amblycephala (Wuchang bream)
Lineage: Eukaryota; Metazoa; Chordata; Actinopteri; Cypriniformes; Xenocyprididae
Source: the annotation of a RefSeq genome assembly
AUGACCUUCAUCAUCAUCUUCAUCUGGACUCUCACAGCGUUUGCUCAAGAGUGUAGAGGACAGAUCACCGUCACUCAGAGUCCCUCAAUGACAGCAGCUCAACCAGGACAAACUGUGAACAUCAACUGUAAAACCAGCAGUGAUGUGUUCAAGAAUGAUGGUGCUGAUGAUUAUUUAGCCUGGUACUUACAGAAACCCGGAGAAGCUCCUAAACUCCUGAUUUAUUAUGCAAGCACCCUCCAGUCAGGAACUCCAUCUAGAUUCAGUGGCAGUGGAUCUAACAGUGAUUUCACUCUGACCAUCAGUGGAGUCCAGACUGAAGAUGCUGGACAUUAUUACUGUCAGAGUUUACACAGUCAUCAGUGGCAGCAUGGGUGUUCACACAAAGUCCUGAUGUUCAUAGUCGAGUCUUGUGACAGAAACAGAUCCUCCAUCAUGGACACGACAGAUGUGUUUCCCUGCAGCAUUAGUGCUGGUGAUUUACAGACUCUUUCUGCAAGUUACAUUGUUACGCCAGUAGAUGGAGACAAGAGACUGACUUUAUGA